RNAcentral lists this ribosomal RNA (460 nucleotides) under uncultured bacterium. RNAcentral's name for it is "partial 16S ribosomal RNA". It matches the Rfam family "Bacterial small subunit ribosomal RNA", at positions 338 to 795 of the family's 1533-position model. The record is from RNAcentral.
CCUACGGGUGGCAGCAGUGAGGAAUAUUGGUCAAUGGACGAGAGUCUGAACCAGCCACGUAGCGUGAAGGAUGACUGCCCUAUGGGUUGUAAACUUCUUUUAUAUGGGAAUAAAAUGUUCCACGUGUGGGAUUUUGUACGUACCAUAUGAAUAAGGAUCGGCUAACUCCGUGCCAGCAGCCGCGGUAAUACGGAGGAUCCGAGCGUUAUCCGGAUUUAUUGGGUUUAAAGGGAGCGUAGGUGGAUUGUUAAGUCAGUUGUGAAAGUUUGCGGCUCAACCGUAAAAUUGCAGUUGAAACUGGCAGUCUUGAGUACAGUAGAGGUGAGCGGAAUUCGUGGUGUAGCGGUGAAAUGCUUAGAUAUCACGAAGAACUCCGAUUGCGAAGGCAGUUCACUGGACUGCAACUGACACUGAGGCUCGAAAGUGUGGGUAUCAAACAGGAUUAGAUACCCGAGUAGUC